UGAGGGAAUAUUUGGGGUCAAUGGACGAAAGUCUGAACCAGCCAUGCCGCGUGAAGGAAUAAGGCCCUAUGGGUCGUAAACUUCUUUUGUAUGUGAGCAAUAAGGUCCACGUGUGGACCGAUGAGAGUAGCAUACGAAUAAGCAUCGGCUAACUCCGUGCCAGCAGCCGCGGUAAUACGGAGGAUGCAAGCGUUAUCCGGAUUCAUUGGGUUUAAAGGGUGCGUAGGCGGCUUGGUAAGUCAGCGGUGAAAUUCCAGUGCUCAACAUUGGCCGUGCCGUUGAUACUGGCGUGCUCGAGUGCGUGCGAGGAAGGCGGAAUGCGUUGUGUAGCGGUGAAAUGCAUAGAUAUGACGCAGAACUCCGAUUGCGAAGGCAGCUUUCCAGCGCGCUACUGACGCUGAGGGCACG
This 408-nucleotide ribosomal RNA is filed under the name uncultured Parabacteroides sp. RNAcentral describes it as "bacterial SSU rRNA". It matches the Rfam family "Bacterial small subunit ribosomal RNA", at positions 354 to 755 of the family's 1533-position model. Lineage: Bacteria; Pseudomonadati; Bacteroidota; Bacteroidia; Bacteroidales; Tannerellaceae. The record is from RNAcentral.